Molecule: long non-coding RNA, 935 nt
Organism: Amphiprion ocellaris (clown anemonefish)
Lineage: Eukaryota; Metazoa; Chordata; Actinopteri; Pomacentridae
Source: Ensembl
GCCAGAGAGCAGCGAUUGGUCAGAGCAUAGAUAUCUAUAGAAGACAGCGCGCUAGCGUAUCUAGUCUAUGUAUAUCUAUGGUCGGCACGUCUGGUAGCAUCUGUGGCUGCUGUUGAUCUUGUUUUUGGAGUAAAACACGGUGGAAGCUGAAUUAGUGAGGAUGACUCCUGCUCCUGUCAUCUCUAAGCUCCUCACACAUCUUUACCUGCACAUGAGGAAAAUCACUCCUGUAGAAUGCAGAUGCACAAUGAGGGACGUCUGCAGAGACUGAGAAAGAGUCUCACCACAUCCUGACAUGAGGAAAAAGACUUUAUUGAAGACUACAAUGAGAAAAACUAUCAGACAGCAGACGGCUGCAUUCAAGUCUGGAGCUGCUGAAUUCAUGGAUGAAUCAUCUGGCACUAGAGAAGAAGACCAUCAAACAUCCACGUCAGCUGAUGGAGGUCCAAGAGUGUCACCAAACAAACAACCUACAGAGUGAAGACCUCCAAUCUGAUUGGACGGCCUCCUAUUCAGCCACAUUUUAGGCUGUUAGAUUGUUCCAGAUAAGACAAGUACAAGAUUCUUCAGAGCCGUUCUACCACGAGCCUGACAGGAAGAACUCCAACAGCUACUGAAUGUUCCUGUGGUUCCCUCAAGGCUACAGGAGGAGUCCUACGAGGACGAGCCGGUCCACCUGAUGGCGGCCAGUCGCUGCAGUUCAAAGCCAACACCGACUACGUGGACUUCUACUGGACCACACGGAGGCCUUCAAACUGGACCAACAAGUUCAGCGACUCCCCGACUCGUGGGUCUGAGGACGCUGCCGAGCCUCGGCUCAGCCGGCCUCCUGUCUGUGGGUGUUUGAGUGCUGAGAGGUUUGUGGAUGCAUGUGAACGUGUCUGUGUUGAAACAGCAGCUUUGGACUCACUAACGCUGGGAAAAACCAAGAGCUC